GACGAACGCUGGCGGCGUGCUUAACACAUGCAAGUCGAACGGAAAGGCCCUGCUUGCAGGGUACUCGAGUGGCGAACGGGUGAGUAACACGUGGGUGAUCUGCCCUGCACUUCGGGAUAAGCCAGGUAAACUGGGUCUAAUACCGGAUAGGAGCCAUUUUUAGUGGGAUGGUUGGAAAGUUUUUUCGGUGUAGGAUGAGCUCGCGGCCUAUCAGCUUGUUGGUGUGGUAAUGGCCUACCAAGGCGGCGACGUGUAGCCGGCCUGAGAGGGUGGACGGCCACACUGGGACUGAGGGGCGGCACAGACUGCGACGGGAGGCAGCAGUGGGGAAGAUUGCACAAUGGGCGCAAGCCUGAUGCAGAGACGCCGCGUGGGGGAUGACGGCCUUCGGGUUGUAAACUAAUUUCGCUAGGGACGAAGCUUUUUGUGACGGUACCUAGACAAGAAGCACCGGCUAACUACGUG
RNAcentral lists this ribosomal RNA (465 nucleotides) under uncultured bacterium. Its description in RNAcentral is "partial 16S ribosomal RNA". It matches the Rfam family "Bacterial small subunit ribosomal RNA", at positions 28 to 507 of the family's 1533-position model. The record is from RNAcentral.